GAUUUUUAUGCCUGCUGCAUGUUGGAAAAGACAGCCCUCUGAGGACUGAAGGCAAAAAAGAAGUAAUUUUUGAGAACGUUGAGAGGAAAAUCCAGUCACAAGUGGAACAAACAUUAAAAAAAAAAAAAGAAGAAACCCUGUCAUCAGUGAAGUUCUGCCGACUGCACUCAAUAAAGGAAAAGGAACAAUGGUGACUCACUGGUGUCACAGAGAUUUUUAGCAUUCAGCCACAGCGGAGAUCAUCGGUACACUAACCCAAGAGACAGUGUGUCAGCUCUACUGCAAUGCAGCCCAAAGAACCCCUCCAGCAGUAAGUCUGUCUGAGAAGAUGAAAAUCAUGCAGAGAGGAUACACAUACAUUUCUUUGGCUACAGAUUCUUUGUUGAUGAAGAAAAGCAACUACUUCAAACAAUUGUGGGAACCUUGUGUGAAAUGUAGUCCUGGUACGAGCAAGCUCAGUAGGUGGAUAUCACGGUAGAUGACCAUGGCAACUGAAAGGUUUUGCAGUGGGAGCCAAGCUGCAGAAAGCAGUUGCUCCUUCAUGAUGGGGACAUGGCUACAUGAGAUUGAAAACUAAGUGUUUUAACCUCUGGAAUGGUCCACCCUAUCUUGCAGCGGCAUAUCACUGAGCUCAUGAUAUUAAAAAAAAAAGCAUACAAGUUUGGAAGGAUGUCAUGUUUCCAUUUAACUCACUCCUCUUCUCUGGGCAGUAUCAUGCGACUCUAGGAAGCUUCUGAAGUCAGGAGACUGUACGAGCAGUAAGAAUGUGCAAAAUUAUGCUUAAGUUCAAAGAGUACAUGGUGUAUAAACUAUCAAGUCUGCAGGAACCAAGCAUCCAGUUUUUGAUGUGGAUUAUGGAAGAAAGCUUUCCUUACAGGCUGGUCAUUCCAAAAUGGCCUGCUGAAUCUUCCUCUGAAGCAUCCGAUAUUAGGAACAGUCAUAGUCUUGAUAAGUGACCACUCAGUAAUUCCCUCCUGGUCACUUCUUGCAGCAGUGCAGAAGCAGAUCCUCUCCCACACCUUCUGUGCUGUUCUGGUUUCCAGUGACUGGCACAAAGGGACGGCUGAGUCUCUGCCCCCAAACAGAUCCCAAGCUAGUUCCCGUCGUGGCUACAAUUUAUCAAAUGACAGAACGUGGGCACUUUCUACACUUUUAUUUCAUGAUCUUUCCUAGCGUCACUCUCCUUCUCCACAGAAAGGGAGAACUUUACCCAGAACUAUUAAAUUGUGGAAUGUCUCCCAGAGGAGGUGACGGGCUUACAGCAGCUGAGUCAUUCAAAACUCAAACGAACAAAUCAUUUGUGGUUACAGACGAGGGACCAACCCUGUGCUUUCAGAGGCAGGAGCACAAUGACCCACACUAAAUCUGUUCUACUUUUGGUUUCUAAUACUGACUGAAGUGAUGUGAGGGACAUUUUCAUCAAUCUUUAUGAUUUUUUCUUCCAAAAACAUCGGGCAGCUUAUUCUGCAUCUCAUCAGAACUGUUAGGUUCUCAUCUAUCCUAAGAUGUUGGGAUCUUUACAAUGCCAGCCAAACAGGUGUAAGCCACCUACAGUAGGAAUGUGUAAUGUUUAGAAAUUUUACAUACUAAAAAAUAAAUUCAAUAAACAGCCAUCAAGAAAUAAAAGCACUAAUUUCCUAUUUUCCAA
This is a non-coding RNA of Anas platyrhynchos (mallard), 1648 nucleotides long. NCBI's taxonomy places the organism in Eukaryota, Metazoa, Chordata, Aves, Anseriformes, Anatidae. The record is from RefSeq and is a predicted model, not a curated record.